Molecule: ribosomal RNA, 404 nt
Filed under: uncultured bacterium
Lineage: Bacteria
Description: bacterial SSU rRNA
Rfam family: Bacterial small subunit ribosomal RNA
Source: RNAcentral
UGGGGAAUAUUGCACAAUGGGGGAAACCCUGAUGCAGCGACGCCGCGUGAGCGAAGAAGUAUUUCGGUAUGUAAAGCUCUAUCAGCAGGGAAGAAAAUGACGGUACCUGAGUAAGAAGCUCCGGCUAAAUACGUGCCAGCAGCCGCGGUAAUACGUAUGGAGCAAGCGUUAUCCGGAUUUACUGGGUGUAAAGGGAGCGCAGGCGGCCAGGCAAGUCUGAUGUGAAAUACCGGGGCUCAACCCCGGAACUGCAUUGGAAACUGUCAGGCUGGAGUGUCGGAGAGGCAGGCGGAAUUCCUGGUGUAGCGGUGAAAUGCGUAGAUAUCAGGAGGAACACCAGUGGCGAAGGCGGCCUGCUGGACGAUGACUGACGCUGAGGCUCGAAAGCGUGGGGAGCAAACAGG